CAGAAGUGCGAAUGCUGACAUAAGUAACGAUAAAGCGGGUGAAAAGCCCGCUCGCCGGAAGACCAAGGGUUCCUGUCCAACGUUAAUCGGGGCAGGGUGAGUCGACCCCUAAGGCGAGGCCGAAAGGCGUAGUCGAUGGGAAACAGGUUAAUAUUCCUGUACUUGGUGUUACUGCGAAGGGGGGACGGAGAAGGCUAUGUUGGCCGGGCGACGGUUGUCCCGGUUUAAGCGUGUAGGCUGGUUUUCCAGGCAAAUCCGGAAAAUCAAGGCUGAGGCGUGAUGACGAGGCACUACGGUGCUGAAGCAACAAAUGCCCUGCUUCCAGGAAAAGCCUCUAAGCAUCAGGUAACAUCAAAUCGUACCCCAAACCGACACAGGUGGUCAGGUAGAGAAUACCAAGGCGCUUGAGAGAACUCGGGUGAAGGAACUAGGCAAAAUGGUGCCGUAACUUCGGGAGAAGGCACGCUGAUAUGUAGGUGAAGUCCCUCGCGGAUGGAGCUGAAAUCAGUCGAAGAUACCAGCUGGCUGCAACUGUUUAUUAAAAACACAGCACUGUGCAAACACGAAAGUGGACGUAUACGGUGUGACGCCUGCCCGGUGCCGGAAGGUUAAUUGAUGGGGUUAGCGCAAGCGAAGCUCUUGAUCGAAGCCCCGGUAAACGGCGGCCGUAACUAUAACGGUCCUAAGGUAGCGAAAUUCCUUGUCGGGUAAGUUCCGACCUGCACGAAUGGCGUAAUGAUGGCCAGGCUGUCUCCACCCGAGACUCAGUGAAAUUGAACUCGCUGUGAAGAUGCAGUGUACCCGCGGCAAGACGGAAAGACCCCGUGAACCUUUACUAUAGCUUGACACUGAACAUUGAGCCUUGAUGUGUAGGAUAGGUGGGAGGCUUUGAAGUGUGGACGCCAGUCUGCAUGGAGCCGACCUUGAAAUACCACCCUUUAAUGUUUGAUGUUCUAACGUUGACCCGUAAUCCGGGUUGCGGACAGUGUCUGGUGGGUAGUUUGACUGGGGCGGUCUCCUCCUAAAGAGUAACGGAGGAGCACGAAGGUUGGCUAAUCCUGGUCGGACAUCAGGAGGUUAGUGCAAUGGCAUAAGCCAGCUUGACUGCGAGCGUGACGGCGCGAGCAGGUGCGAAAGCAGGUCAUAGUGAUCCGGUGGUUCUGAAUGGAAGGGCCAUCGCUCAACGGAUAAAAGGUACUCCGGGGAUAACAGGCUGAUACCGCCCAAGAGUUCAUAUCGACGGCGGUGUUUGGCACCUCGAUGUCGGCUCAUCACAUCCUGGGGCUGAAGUAGGUCCCAAGGGUAUGGCUGUUCGCCAUUUAAAGUGGUACGCGAGCUGGGUUUAGAACGUCGUGAGACAGUUCGGUCCCUAUCUGCCGUGGGCGCUGGAGAACUGAGGGGGGCUGCUCCUAGUACGAGAGGACCGGAGUGGACGCAUCACUGGUGUUCGGGUUGUCAUGCCAAUGGCACUGCCCGGUAGCUAAAUGCGGAAGAGAUAAGUGCUGAAAGCAUCUAAGCACGAAACUUGCCUCGAGAUGAGUUCUCCCUGACCCUUUAAGGGUCCUGAAGGAACGUUGAAGACGACGACGUUGAUAGGCCGGGUGUGUAAGCGCAGCGAUGCGUUGAGCUAACCGGUACUAAUGAACCGUGAGGCUUAACCUU
Molecule: ribosomal RNA, 1662 nt
Filed under: Escherichia coli 7-233-03_S3_C2
Lineage: Bacteria; Pseudomonadati; Pseudomonadota; Gammaproteobacteria; Enterobacterales; Enterobacteriaceae
Description: bacterial LSU rRNA
Rfam family: Bacterial large subunit ribosomal RNA
Source: RNAcentral